AGAAGAGAGCUUUCACGGAG
RNAcentral lists this small nuclear RNA (20 nucleotides) under Arabidopsis thaliana (thale cress). Its description in RNAcentral is "snRNA_08451". The record is from RNAcentral. Lineage: Eukaryota; Viridiplantae; Streptophyta; Magnoliopsida; Brassicales; Brassicaceae.